This 520-nucleotide ribosomal RNA is filed under the name uncultured Glomus. Its description in RNAcentral is "SSU rRNA". It matches the Rfam family "Eukaryotic small subunit ribosomal RNA", at positions 569 to 1087 of the family's 1831-position model. The record is from RNAcentral. Lineage: Eukaryota; Fungi; Glomeromycota; Glomeromycetes; Glomerales; Glomeraceae.
AGCAGCCGCGGUAAUUCCAGCUCCAAUAGCGUAUAUUAAAGUUGUUGCAGUUAAAAAGCUCGUAGUUGAAUUUCGGGAUCAAUAUGCUGGUCGUGCCAUUGGUACGUACUAGUAUUAUUGGUUUCUCCUUUCUGAUGAAUCAUGAUGUCAUUAAUUUGAUGUCAUGAGGAAUCAGGACUGUUACUUUGAAAAAAAUUAGAGUGUUUAAAGCAGGCUCGCGCUUGAAUACAUUAGCAUGGAAUAAUGAAAUAGGAUGUUUGAUUCUAUUUUGUUGGUUUCUAGGAUUUGACGUAAUGAUUAAUAGGGAUAGUUGGGGGCAUUAGUAUUCAAUUGUCAGAGGUGAAAUUCUUGGAUUUAUUGAAGACUAACUACUGCGAAAGCAUUUGCCAAGGAUGUUUUCAUUAAUCAAGAACGAAAGUUAGGGGAUCGAAGACGAUCAGAUACCGUCGUAGUCUUAACCAUAAACUAUGCCGACUAGGGAUCGGAUGAUGUUAAUUUUUUUAAUGACUCAUUCGGCGCC